This 242-nucleotide ribosomal RNA is filed under the name uncultured Eubacteriaceae bacterium. Its description in RNAcentral is "partial 16S ribosomal RNA". It matches the Rfam family "Bacterial small subunit ribosomal RNA", at positions 92 to 334 of the family's 1533-position model. The record is from RNAcentral. Lineage: Bacteria; Bacillati; Bacillota; Clostridia; Eubacteriales; Eubacteriaceae.
UUAGCGGCGGACGGGUGAGUAACACGUGAGUAACCUGCCUUAGACAUUGGGAUAGCCUCGGGAAACCGGGAUUAAUACCAAAUAAAAUCAUAAUGACACAUGUCAUAACGAUCAAAACUCCGGUGGUCUAAGAUGGACUCGCGUCCCAUUAGCUAGUUGGUAAGGUAACGGCUUACCAAGGCAACGAUGCGUAGCCGACCUGAGAGGGUGAUCGGCCACACUGGAACUGAGACACGGUCCAG